This 63-nucleotide transfer RNA is filed under the name Ictidomys tridecemlineatus (thirteen-lined ground squirrel). RNAcentral's name for it is "Spermophilus tridecemlineatus (thirteen-lined ground squirrel) tRNA". It matches the Rfam family "tRNA", at positions 5 to 66 of the family's 71-position model. From Rfam's summary of the family: Transfer RNA (tRNA) molecules are approximately 80 nucleotides in length. Their secondary structure includes four short double-helical elements and three loops (D, anti-codon, and T loops). The record is from Rfam by way of RNAcentral. Lineage: Eukaryota; Metazoa; Chordata; Mammalia; Rodentia; Sciuridae.
GUGUAGCUCAGUGGUAGAGCACUUGCCUGGUACGUGCGAAGUCCUGGGUUUGAUCCCCAGUAC